AUUGAACGCUGGCGGCAGGCCUACCACAUGCAAGUCGAGCGGAGCGGCGGACGGGGGAGUAAGGACAAGGAAUAUGCCUGGACGUGGGGGAUAACGUCCGGAAACGGGCGCUAAUACCGCAUACUAUCAGAUGAGCCUAGGUUGUAUUAGCUGGUUGGUGGGUUAAAGGCCUACCAAGGCGACGAUCCGUAACUUGUCUGAGAGGAUGAUCAGUCACCCUGGAACUGAGACACGGUCCAGACUCCUACGGGAGGCAGCAGUGGGGAAUAUUGGACAAUGGGCGAAAGCCUGAUCCAGCCAUGCCGCGUGUGUGAAGAAGGUCUUCGGAUUGUAAAGCACUUUAAGUUGGGAGGCGUUACCAACAGAAUAAGCACCGGCUAACUUCGUGCCAGCAGCCGCGGUAAUAC
Molecule: ribosomal RNA, 407 nt
Filed under: uncultured bacterium
Lineage: Bacteria
Description: partial 16S ribosomal RNA
Rfam family: Bacterial small subunit ribosomal RNA
Source: RNAcentral